AACGAACGCUGGCGGCAUGCCUAACACAUGCAAGUCGAACGAGACCUUCGGGUCUAGUGGCGCACGGGUGCGUAACGCGUGGGAACCUGCCCUUAGGUUCGGAAUAACUCCCCGAAAGGGGUGCUAAUACCGGAUAAUGUCUUCGGACCAAAGAUUUAUCGCCUUUGGAUGGGCCCGCGUUGGAUUAGCUAGUUGGUAGGGUAAAAGCCUACCAAGGCGACGAUCCAUAGCUGGUCUGAGAGGAUGAUCAGCCACACUGGGACUGGGACACGGCCCAGACACCCAGGGAGGGGAGAAGUGGGGAUUGUGGAAAAAGGGGGGAAGGCUGAACCCAUCAGGGCCGGGAGAGUGUGAAAGGCGUGAGGGUUGAAAGGUUUUGUAACCGGGAAUGUAAGGGAGGGACCGGGGAAAAAAGGCACGGGCAACCCCGGG
RNAcentral lists this ribosomal RNA (432 nucleotides) under uncultured bacterium. RNAcentral's name for it is "partial 16S ribosomal RNA". It matches the Rfam family "Bacterial small subunit ribosomal RNA", at positions 29 to 507 of the family's 1533-position model. The record is from RNAcentral.